Molecule: ribosomal RNA, 465 nt
Filed under: Vreelandella stevensii
Lineage: Bacteria; Pseudomonadati; Pseudomonadota; Gammaproteobacteria; Oceanospirillales; Halomonadaceae
Description: partial 16S ribosomal RNA
Rfam family: Bacterial small subunit ribosomal RNA
Source: RNAcentral
CCUACGGGUGGCUGCAGUGGGGAAUAUUGGACAAUGGGGGCAACCCUGAUCCAGCCAUGCCGCGUGUGUGAAGAAGGCCCUCGGGUUGUAAAGCACUUUCAGUGAGGAAGAACGCCUGGUGGUUAAUACCCAUCAGGAAAGACAUCACUCACAGAAGAAGCACCGGCUAACUCCGUGCCAGCAGCCGCGGUAAUACGGAGGGUGCGAGCGUUAAUCGGAAUUACUGGGCGUAAAGCGCGCGUAGGUGGCUUGAUAAGCCGGUUGUGAAAGCCCCGGGCUCAACCUGGGAACGGCAUCCGGAACUGGCAAGCUAGAGUGCAGGAGAGGAAGGUAGAAUUCCCGGUGUAGCGGUGAAAUGCGUAGAGAUCGGGAGGAAUACCAGUGGCGAAGGGGGCCUUCUGGACUGACACUGACACUGAGGUGCGAAAGCGUGGGUAGCAAACAGGAUUAGAUACCCCUGUAGUC